UCGCAAUCUUCUUUAUCGNUUUGAACUCCYAAAAAAAAUUACGCUGUUAUCCCUAAGGUAACUUUUUCUUUUAAUCUAAAUAAUAGGAUCAAAAAAUCAUUAAUUAAUGAUUAAAUAAAAAAAAGUUUAUUAAAUUUUUCUGUCACCCCAACUAAACAAAUUAAUAUUUACAAAAUUUUUAUUCCAAUAAUUUAUUAACAACAAAUUUGUAAAGCUCUAUAGGGUCUUCUUGUCUUCUAUAAUUAUUUAAGCUUUUUCACUUAAAAAUAAAAUUCUAAAAAAAUUUUCUCGAGAGAGCAGGUUUCUCAUCAAUCCCUUCAUUCCAGCUUCUAAUUAAGAAACUAAUUAUUAUGCUACCUUUGCACGGUCAAAAUACCGCGGCCAUUUAAAAUUAAUUCAUUGGGCAGGAGCGCCUUAAAUUAUAAUCAAAGGAC
This 434-nucleotide ribosomal RNA is filed under the name Aphanarthrum bicinctum. Its description in RNAcentral is "partial 16S ribosomal RNA". Lineage: Eukaryota; Metazoa; Arthropoda; Insecta; Coleoptera; Curculionidae. The record is from RNAcentral.